Long non-coding RNA from Notothenia coriiceps (black rockcod), 339 nucleotides. RefSeq lists it as uncharacterized. The record is from RefSeq and is a predicted model, not a curated record. NCBI's taxonomy places the organism in Eukaryota, Metazoa, Chordata, Actinopteri, Perciformes, Nototheniidae. The transcript has 3 exons.
GUUGGAUACGGACUCCUAGUAAAGCAGACAUUUAUCUCUUGUCUGUCAGGCGAUUGAAAUACUUCCAGACUCAGCGAACAGACGGCAGCACAGCAGCAGCAGACAGGAUGAAAGUCCCUGUGUCCUUUGUGCUGGUGCUAGCAUUCAUCUGUCUUAGCCACAGCCUGGAACUACAAAAUGCACUGGACAGGUUGAAAAGGUCUCAGGAACAUGUGGUGUCAGACCCCAGUGACUGUGUGUCCAGGACCAGGCAGCCAGUCUCAGCAAACCCUCACAAUUUUUCUGUGGACAUUCGGAUGCCUGCGGUUGUCCCAGCUGCAGUGAGUCACUUUCUUUGAA